RNAcentral lists this ribosomal RNA (568 nucleotides) under uncultured bacterium. RNAcentral describes it as "partial 16S ribosomal RNA". It matches the Rfam family "Bacterial small subunit ribosomal RNA", at positions 355 to 914 of the family's 1533-position model. The record is from RNAcentral.
UGGGGAAUAUUGCACAAUGGGCGCAAGCCUGAUGCAGCCAUGCCGCGUGUGUGAAGAAGGCCUUCGGUUGUAAAGCACUUUCAGCGAGGAGGAAGGUGGUGAGCUUAAUACGCUCAUCAAUUGACGUUACUCGCAGAAGAAGCACCGGCUAACUCCGUGCCAGCAGCCGCGGUAAUACGGAGGGUGCAAGCGUUAAUCGGAAUUACUGGGCGUAAAGCGCACGCAGGCGGUUUGUUAAGUCAGNUGUGAAAUCCCCGGGCUCAACCUGGGAACUGCAUUUGAAACUGGCAAGCUAGAGUCUCGUAGAGGGGGGUAGAAUUCCAGGUGUAGCGGUGAAAUGCGUAGAGAUCUGGAGGAAUACCGGUGGCGAAGGCGGCCCCCUGGACGAAGACUGACGCUCAGGUGCGAAAGCGUGGGGCAACAAACAGGAUUAGAUACCCUGGUAGUCCAGCGCUGUAAACGAUGUCGAUUUGGAGGUUGUGCCCUUGAGGCGUGGCUUCCGGAGCUAACGCGUUAAAUCGACCGCCUGGGGAGUACGGCCGCAAGGUUAAAACUCAAAGGAAUUGAC